AGUGAACGCUGGCGGUAGGCCUAACACAUGCAAGUCGAACGGCAGCACAGGAGAGCUUGCUCUCUGGGUGGCGAGUGGCGGACGGGUGAGGAAUACAUCGGAAUCUACUCUGUCGUGGGGGAUAACGUAGGGAAACUUACGCUAAUACCGCAUACGACCUACGGGUGAAAGCAGGGGACCUUCGGGCCUUGCGCGAUUGAAUGAGCCGAUGUCGGAUUAGCUAGUUGGCGGGGUAAAGGCCCACCAAGGCGACGAUCCGUAGCUGGUCUGAGAGGAGGAUCAGCCACACUGGAAAUGAGACAAGGUCCAGACUCCUCCGGGAGGCAGCAGUGGGGAAUAUUGGACAGUGGGCGCAAGCCUGGUCCAGCCAUACCGCGUGGGUGUAGAAGGACGUCGGGUUGUAAAGCCCUUUUGUUGGGAAAGAAAUCCAGCUGGCUAAUACCCGGUUGGGAUGACGGUACCCAAAGAAUAAGCACCGGCUAACUUCGUGCCAGCAGCCGCGGUAA
This 506-nucleotide ribosomal RNA is filed under the name uncultured bacterium. RNAcentral describes it as "partial 16S ribosomal RNA". It matches the Rfam family "Bacterial small subunit ribosomal RNA", at positions 29 to 523 of the family's 1533-position model. The record is from RNAcentral.